AACGAACGCUGGCGGCAUGCCUAACACAUGCAAGUCGAACGAAGACUUCGGCCUUAGUGGCGCACGGGUGCGUAACGCGUGGGAAUCUGCCCAAAGGUUCGGAAUAACUCAGGGAAACUUGAGCUAAUACCGGAUGAUGUCGCAAGACCAAAGAUUUAUCGCCUUUGGAUGAGCCCGCGUAGGAUUAGCUUGUUGGUGGGGUAAUGGCCCACCAAGGCGACGAUCCUUAGCUGGUCUGAGAGGAUGAUCAGCCACACUGGGACUGAGACACGGCCCAGACUCCUACGGGAGGCAGCAGUGGGGAAUAUUGGACAAUGGGCGAAAGCCUGAUCCAGCAAUGCCGCGUGAGUGAUGAAGGCCUUAGGGUUGUAAAGCUCUUUUACCCGGGAUGAUAAUGACAGCACCGGGAGAAUAAGCUCCGGCUAACUCCGUGCCAGCAGCCCCGGUAAUACGGAGGGAGCUAGCGUUGUUCGGAAUUACUGGGCGUAAAGCGCACG
This 497-nucleotide ribosomal RNA is filed under the name uncultured bacterium. RNAcentral's name for it is "bacterial SSU rRNA". It matches the Rfam family "Bacterial small subunit ribosomal RNA", at positions 28 to 571 of the family's 1533-position model. The record is from RNAcentral.